GACGAACGCUGGCGGCGUGCUUAACACAUGCAAGUCGAACGCUGAAGCUCAGCUUUUGUUGGGUGGAUGAGUGGCGAACGGGUGUGUAACACGUGAGUAUCCUGCCCCCUUCUUUGGGAUACCUCCCGGAAACGGGUGCUAAUACUGGAUAUUCACUGGUCUUCGCAUGGGGGUUGGUGGAAAGGGUUUUUCUGGUGGGGGAUGGGCUCGCGGCCUAUCAGCUUGUUGGUGGGGUGAUGGCCUACCAAGGCUUUGACGGGUAGCCGGCCUGAGAGGGUGACCGGGCACAUGGGGACUGAGAUAGGGCCCAGAGUCAGACGGGAGGGAGGAGUGGGGGAUAUUGGACGAUGGGCGGAAGCAUGAAGCAGCGACGACGCGUGAGGGAUGGAGGCCUUCGAGUUGUGAACCUCUUUAGCGAAUGGUCAAGCCGCAACAAUGGUUGUGAAGAGGGUAAUGGGUAAAGAAGCGACGGCUAACUACGUG
Molecule: ribosomal RNA, 483 nt
Filed under: uncultured bacterium
Lineage: Bacteria
Description: partial 16S ribosomal RNA
Rfam family: Bacterial small subunit ribosomal RNA
Source: RNAcentral